This is a long non-coding RNA of Parus major (Great Tit), 6702 nucleotides long. RefSeq lists it as uncharacterized. The record is from RefSeq and is a predicted model, not a curated record. The transcript has 2 exons. Lineage: Eukaryota; Metazoa; Chordata; Aves; Passeriformes; Paridae.
UCUGAAAAACACCACAACAGUCACCAUAAUUUCUUCUCCCAGCUUACAAGGACUCAUUCCCAUUCAGAUGGUGGCAGCUCAGCCAGUACUCUAGCCCAGACAACUAACAUCAUCAUCCUAGACACAGCCAAUUGAUACUGCCUAUUGUGUGGCUGGCCAGCAACCUUUUGCUAGGAUCUGAUCCUGUUCUACCUUGUUCUAGUUUCUUUGCAUGUGGGUCCACAAGCAAAGGUCUGAUCUAAGGUAUCUUUAUGCAAUUAGAGGAUAAAAAGAGAGACACUGGCCUAAACCAAGCCUGAGGGACAGGGUCUUGAUUUAGCACUGUGAAUAGAUGCAGAAAUCUACAAAGCACCCUCAGCUGUCUGAUUGGAUGAAGAGGGAAAAAAGGCAUACCUCCAAUCUAUUUUACCCAACUGUAUCUACAACAGCAACAGGAGACUGCACAGUAUGCUCAAGACAGCAUUUGCCACUGCCUCCUUCAACCCAUAGCAAGUGUUGGCAGCAACAUGUUUCCCUGCACAAAAACACUGGUGGUCUCCUUGUGUCAUCAUCAAGUAUCCUGGCAGCCACCCCUGCCUCUUCCUGUGGAGGGUAGUGCCACAGCUAAGCACAGGAGGGUUGAUUUCCAUGUUUGCAGACUGCCCAGGAGGGAAUCCUACCAUGGGCAACAGUUCUGGGAAUCAUUCCUCUCUUCUGCCUGGCAACCACAGUGUAGACAUCUCAAGAAAAACUUCUGACUUUCAAGCUUGCUUCCAGCAGGGAAACACUGAGAUUAAUCAGACAAUAUGAACACAACAACCUAGCCUAAAAGAAAACAGGCUCGGUGCACUAAGGUGGCAAUGACCCUUCUUUUGAGUUACUUCUUCCAACACUUCCGCUGUGCCUGGCUCUCCAGGAAAGGCUAAGGCUGGCAGCAUGGCCUCCCUGUGGUGGGAGCCUUCACACACCGCAUGCUAAGCACAGUCCCGGGUAAAGGUGGAAUGAGCUGCCUGGACACCAGCCUCAAAGGCAGCCCAGAGCACAAACACACUCAUAAAGUAUAAUAAGGGAAACAAAAUCAAAGGUAGUGAUUAAUUAUUGCUGCUUUGGGAUCAGCUCUGUUCUGAUCAGCUUCUGUUAAUGAGUUCAUUAACAAUCUCACACCUUCUGCUCAGGAAAGGCAGGCAGGCAUUAUAACUAAGAGGGAUGGGAGAGAAGAAGCUUGACAUAAACCAGACCAUGAAAAGAAGUUUAACCAGUCAGUUAAAUAGUCUGGAAGGAGCACAGCAGAGCUGGGGAGAGGGACACAUAUAACAAGGCUCAAAUCUUUGAUUUAUCAUUAGCAAUUUCAAAGUCAUGGGUUAUUAGGCAAUUCUGCCAGUGCUCAAGAUGCCAAACUCCCCAGAGGGACAUGCACAGCUUCCUGAGCCCAGAGGAAGCACCAAAGCAUUAUCACCUGAUCCCAAAGCUCGGGGAAUAGCACUUCUGUGUUUGGCAAUGCUUGGGUUUGCCUGGAUGAGGAGAACUGUCCUCCUCCAGCUGUUAACCAGCUGUUCAUCACUAUGUCAUCCACUACAACUCAGCGUGAUGCACUGCCCCAGUCUGCUUCAGGGCCAAGAAAAGACCUCACUCAGGCCAGCUCUGACCACACUUAUCAGCAAGUUAAUAGCAGGGUGUGGUACAGCAGAGGUGGGGUGUUGGUCCAGUCACAUUUAAGAAUUACCAUCUCCCUCACCAGUUCCUACCAUUUGCAAAUGGCUGUUUCUGCUCCCUUAGCUGUUGGAAAUCCUUAUGUGCACACACAGGAAAAGAUGCUUCAGCAUGUGUUACCUGGCUCCUCUUUAGCCUGUUAAAUUAUUACAGUGAACCAUGGCUUCUCUGGAAAUACAUUUAAAAAUAAUGUUAAAUAAUACCUUAAUGAAUUAAUGAGAGCUUUAGUUGGCUGCCAACCCCACCACUAAAUUAUCCAUGCUACUGCACUCCAAUUCUCUCCUCCAUGCCUGCUCCUCCUGCUCAGCUGGCAGUUGCUCUCACUAGUAUGUUCUCUACCCAUACUUCCCUCAUUUCAAGAGACUUCAAGAGAGUAUAUUCUGCCCAGCUUUGUCAGUGCUUUUACUUUCUGCCGACUAAAAAUCUCCAGAUUCCACAUAAUACUUUAAAGUUUCAACUGGUUUUACUGCUCUUAAAUCAAAACCCAAGUUAGGGUCCCCUGCUGGAGAGCAAUAAUUUGCUAAUAAACCACAUGCCCCAGAACUGCACCAUCAGCUGUGCUGACCUGGGGGCACAAGGGAUAAAAAAUAACCAGGAAAAAAAAAAAAAAAAAAAAAGCAAGGAAGGAGGAAAGGAGGAACAGGAAGAACAUGAACACAAUGAAUUCAUUGCUGCAUGAAAAAUACUUUUCUUUCAGAAUCUCACUACUUUUCUUCUGGCUAGCCUGGAUUUUGUGGGGUUAUAAGGAAGGACAAGAGUGAGGAUUCACAGAUGUUACACAUUCACUGUGCCUCAGCUUCCCCACUUAUAAAUUAAGACAAUAUAAUUGCCUCCUGAAGGCAGCUCAUUAGAGUAAGAAGCCUCAGACACCAACCCAAACUAUGGGCAGAGCACUGUCUUGAUAUGUCAAUGCCAUUGUCUUGCUUGGCAUUUAGGAUCUGCUCCUGCAAGCCAGGAGUUUCUCAGCAACUCAGCCAUCCAGGUAACUCUUCACUGCAGGACAAAACAAAGACGGAAACAGAAAAUAAACGGGGGAAAACAAGAGUAAUGCCUGAGAACUACUGAUUACUCUCUGGGUUGCUGAGAAAACUCCUAGAGGGGGGCCAUAGUCUGUAAAAUUGUAGCACAAGAAAAUCUGCAGGGCUUUGCCAUAAUUCCCUGCUGCAGCUAGUUCUCCAGGAGACCAAUCCUAGAAGCAGGUGCCCACCUGAGCUUGCUGUGGAUGGAAAGCUUUCCCUCGUACUAAAUAAUACAUGAUGUUAGUUGGGGCACAUACCUGGGCACGCUGGAAGCCCGCAGGAAAACAAAGAGCCAAGCCUGCUUUGCUGAACAACCCCUGAACUUCACACUGCCUUAUCUCUUCAGUGGAAAUCUCAGCACAGUAUCUCCUAAAUUGCACAGAUGAACCCUUCCUCCUUUUAGCUCUCCUUUCCUUGAAGGGCACCCUGUGGGACAGAGUUGAAAUGCAGGAAGCAGAAAGCUCACAUGACAGCCCCUCAGGUUCGCACAGAUGGUAGCAGAGUCACAGGACUUUAUUCACAGCAACAUCUUUAAGUAGUUCCAGUUAAAAAGGGGGAGUGAAACAUGUGCUUCACAUCCAGGCCACAGAUCUGGGCACACACAGCUGCCCUUCUGAAGCUCCUCAGAAGACACUCCAGAAAGUCAAGUCCCAGUAGCUUUGGAUGCAUACAGGCAUCUAAGACCAUGUGCUUCCUUUGCUCCACAGAUAUGAGAAGGCAUUCAGCUAUUUUUGCUGAAUUCUGGCAAGACUUGCUCAUGAUCUAGAAACCCUUUUAAACCAGAGAGACCUGGAAUGUAUUUCAGUCCAAACUGACGUACAUGCUUAUUACAAAUUCCAUUUGUUGGGACCAUCUUGGGCAGGUAGCCUGAAAUGGCUCACAUAAAGGCUAACAGAAAAGUGGAAAAAGAAGCAGCUUUGCUUAUAGAAUUGAGCUGGAUCCCAUUUAAUACAUUUGCAGUGAAUUAAUGAAAGCUUUCUUUUCUGCAGAAAUGCUAAAAGUGCUUUUCAAGAACCGGCAACCACCCUCUGCUUUUAUGAAUUCCCUAAUUAAGAUACUGGCAAAGAGCCAUAUCACACAUACGCUGACAUCCAACAGCAUUAGCAUGCUUGGAAAUAUUUACCAGACAAGCUAUUCACAGCAGAGGAUGAUCCACCAGCAAAGUCUAAGAUGACUCCUAAAGAACAACCCUGCAUGUUGCUAAAGGAGGAAAGGCUGAAUCCUACCUACACCUCCUCCUUCAGCCUUGCAGGGACCAUUUCACUAGUCAGCGCAUCCUGCCUCAGUACAGACCAGUGGCUUUGCAGGCCCACACACAGAUGUGACCACAGAACAUGCGAGCCAGAUUUUCGAAAACUUCUGCAAGAACAGCUUAAGUAAGUAUAAACUGUGUCGGUCUUUUCCCUAUUCUUUAUGCUCUUCUAUACACAGUGCUCAGCCAUUGCCCUGUCAGAAGCAGCAACACAUGUAACAAUGCUUUCUAGAAACACACCUGACAUUUUGCUGCCCAUGCACUGCCUUUAAUUUAAGCACUUUUCUGCUUAUCUGAUUUGGUUUUUUUCAGUUGUUGUCUGAGCCGCAAGUAUAUUCUUAAUGGUUACAAUAUCCUUUGCAAGAAGUUUCACUGCAGGUUACGGGAAGAACCUCCUGUUUGUUCUGAGCUGGUCAGCUGCUGCUUUCGAUAGCCCUAACUUUCUAUUGACAGUGUAUAGUUAUUCUUUGUUUAAAGCUACAAAUAGCAUGCAGAGGAUAUAGAACGAUAUUGUGUCCCUUGCAGUCAUGUUUUGCAGCUUAAAAGGACUUGGAAUGCUUGGUAGGUUCUUGCAUAGAAGUUCUCCACACCUUUGGUCAUCCAUGUCACUCUCUUCAGUUAAUUACAUUUAAAGUAUUUUGUUACUAAAUGGACUGGUCUUGCCAGUUUCAUUUUCCUGAUGAGUUUUCUCAAGCAAGUCCUAUGCAGCUCAACAUUGUCAACAGGGCUGCCUGUCAAAAGACUAGAGCUAUAUGAAAGAAGUGGCAUGAAUUUAAACCACCACAACAUUACGGAGACCCAUUUAUAUCUAUUUAAAACAGAUCAUAUCAAUUACAUCUGCAAUUUGUAAGUGCAAGCAAAUCUGAUAAGUGCCCAUAUCAAAAACUGCAUUCAUUUAGCAUCAUGACUUCAGUUAAACAAGCAUGACUGCCUAGAUGAGGCCUUUCAAAGCCAGUCAUGCAUCAUGUCAUAUUAAGACUCAUUUGAAAAGUUUUCUCUACAAUCAUAACAGCUCAGAAGGUAAUACUGAACAGAAUAAUUUUAAAUUAUGAAUCAAGUAUCUUAGUUGUCAUGCAAACUGAAACACAGCCCUCUCUUCCUCUGGCGUAAAGGGAUGUUUUUUUCUUCCUCUCUAACCUCUCUUCAGGAGCGUUCUCAUCACUGCAAAUGGAAAGAAUUUAAUCUUGUAGUAGUGUCUUUGCACAGAGAUUUUCACCUGUAACGCACAAAAACUAGUAAUUCUACAAUCCUUUCAAAACUAGUAUGUUCUAUCAUGAAAACUUCUAAAAAAACCCCAAAACCUAAUCUAAAGCUACUACAAGUCCUCAAGCACUUUGCAAGAAUUUUCUGUGGCAGGUAAAAUCAGUCCCUUCUCAUUCUGUAAGCAGCAGGUCCCUAACAGGCUGAGCCAUUUUGCCACCUCUCUUUUUGUAAAGUAGGCCCUACCAUCUCAACUCUUACUGUCUGCCACCUCUCAAACUACAACCACAAAAUAACCACAAAAAAACCCCAACAAAACAAACAAACAAACAAAACAAAACAACCAAAAAAACAACCCCCAUCACUGUUCAGUUCUCUCUGGUAGGUUCAUCAUAGGAAACGUGGACAGUCAGCAUACCCCUCUGGACUCCCUUUGGUGGUUACACGUGGUUUAGACUGCCCAGAACUGUGUUUCUCUAAUGAAAACCUAACCAAUGAAACACACCAGAAAACCAUAAAUCAAACUCCCAUUCCACACAGCAGGUUGAGAGGGAAUCCCAUCAAUACAUAUAAAUAUCUAGAGCUGGGUGUGAAGAGGUUGGUGCAAAACUCUUUUCAGUGGUGCCCAGUGACAGGAUGAGUAGCAGUGCCAAACACAGAAGUUCCACCUCAAUGUGAGGAAAAACUUUUUUAUACUGGAGGUGGCAGAACACUGGAACAGGUGGGUUGUGGGGUUUCCCUCUCCAGAAAUAUUCAAAAUCUACCUCGUCAUGUUCCUGUGUGAUCUGCUCUAGGUGACCCUGCCCUGGCAAGGGGGUUGAAUGAGAUUGUAAUAAAUGGAAUUGAUUUGUGCUAACUAAAUUGUAACUGUUAUUAAAGUCAUUAUUAGAAGCAAUCAAAAGAAUCAGUGUUACAAGGCAGAUGCACCCCUUUUCAGAUGUUACAUGUUAAAAUUGAGGUACAGGAUGUAGUUUGGAAGAUAGGUGAUGUCCCAAGACAAAAACGGCCUUGAGAUGGACAAAAUUAGAACAACUUUAGGCAUCGGGCCUAAAGAUCAGUAAAUAUAUGACUAAUUAGUAGACUUACAUAACACAAUGCUUAGUACACACACGCAAACCUGUAAGGUUAUCCAAAGGACAAUGAGGAAGAGGAGAAGCCUUCUCCAAAAAACCACCAAAAGAAGACUGAAGACCCCCUAACAACAAGUGAGGCAUGCGCCAUGAAGAAAAGUAAUGUAAAGUCAGAAAAAUUUUAAAUAGGAGGAAACUUAUGGGAAACAUUUAUGAAUAUGUAUAAGCAUACAGUAUAUAAGUUUAGCUUGAAGUGCUUUGUUUUGUACAUGAGGUAGGGUGGGAAGCCUCAGUACCCUGGUCGGUGUUGCUUAUGCUUUAAUCAUACUUAAUUACUGGCAAAUUAUAUAUAUAAAUUGUAAUUUUUUUCUAAAUUGUAUUAUUUUACUAUCCUGUAUUCUUUUAUACCAAAUUACUAUUCAAUUUACUAAAUUGUAUUCAUUUUUAAUUAAACUGUUAUUAACUCAAAGGA